AUUGAACGCUGGCGGAAUGCUUUACACAUGCAAGUCGAACGGCAGCACGGGGCAACCUGGUGGCGAGUGGCGAACGGGUGGAGUAAUACAUCGGAACGUGCCCAAUCGGUGGGGGAUAACGUAGCGAAAGUUACGCUAAUACCGCAUACGAUCUACGGAUGAAAGGCGGGGGAUCGCAAGACCUCGCGCGAAUGGAGCGGCCGAUGUCAGAUUAGGUAGUUGGGUAGGGGUAAAGGCUCACCAAGCCAACGAUCUGUAGCUGGUCUGAGAGGACGACCAGCCACACUGGAACUGAGACACGGUCCAGACUCCUACGGGAGGCAGCAGUGGGGAAUUUUGGACAAUGGGCGCAAGCCUGAUCCAGCCAUUCCGCGUGCAGGAUGAAGGCCUUCGGUUGUAAACUGUCUUUGUACGGUAACGAAAA
RNAcentral lists this ribosomal RNA (424 nucleotides) under uncultured bacterium. Its description in RNAcentral is "bacterial SSU rRNA". It matches the Rfam family "Bacterial small subunit ribosomal RNA", at positions 30 to 452 of the family's 1533-position model. The record is from RNAcentral.